AUGCAAGUCGAACGGUAACAUUUCUAGCUUGCUAGCAGAUGACGAGUGGCGGACGGGUGAGUAAUGCUUGGGAACUUGCCUUUGCGGGGGGGAUAACAGUUGGAAACGACUGCUAAUACCGCAUAAUGUCUUCGGACCAAACGGGGCUUCGGCUCCGGCGCAAAGAGAGGCCCAAGUGAGAUUAGCUAGUUGGUAAGGUAACGGCUUACCAAGGCGACGAUCUCUAGCUGUUCUGAGAGGAAGAUCAGCCACACUGGGACUGAGACACGGCCCAGACUCCUACGGGAGGCAGCAGUGGGGAAUAUUGCACAAUGGGGGAAACCCUGAUGCAGCCAUGCCGCGUGUGUGAAGAAGGCCCUUCGGGUUGUAAAGCACUUUCAGUUGUGAGGAAAAGUUAGUAGUUAAUACCUGCUAGCCGUGACGUUAACAACAGAAGAAGCACCGGCUAACUCCGUGCCAGCAGCCGCGGUUAAUACGGAGGGUGCGAGCGUUAAUCGGAAUUACUGCGCGUAAAGCGCACGCA
Molecule: ribosomal RNA, 523 nt
Filed under: uncultured bacterium
Lineage: Bacteria
Description: bacterial SSU rRNA
Rfam family: Bacterial small subunit ribosomal RNA
Source: RNAcentral